GAGUAAUGUCUGGGAAACUGCCUGAUGGAGGGGGAUAACUACUGGAAACGGUAGCUAAUACCGCAUAACGUCGCAAGACCAAAGAGGGGGACCUUCGGGCCUCUUGCCAUCGGAUGUGCCCAGAUGGGAUUAGCUAGUAGGUGGGGUAACGGCUCACCUAGGCGACGAUCCCUAGCUGGUCUGAGAGGAUGACCAGCCACACUGGAACUGAGACACGGUCCAGACUCCUACGGGAGGCAGCAGUGGGGAAUAUUGCACAAUGGGCGCAAGCCUGAUGCAGCCAUGCCGCGUGUAUGAAGAAGGCCUUCGGGUUGUAAAG
RNAcentral lists this ribosomal RNA (319 nucleotides) under Escherichia coli. Its description in RNAcentral is "bacterial SSU rRNA". It matches the Rfam family "Bacterial small subunit ribosomal RNA", at positions 108 to 430 of the family's 1533-position model. RNAcentral also lists the same sequence under 4 other names. Lineage: Bacteria; Pseudomonadati; Pseudomonadota; Gammaproteobacteria; Enterobacterales; Enterobacteriaceae. The record is from RNAcentral.